CUUCUACUCUUUUCAUGCGUACUUGAAAUGCAUGGACAAGAACCAAAACCCCUAAACAGAAUAAGAAGACAAAGCUGUACACAAUGUUGUAGAUUAUUUGGAGAACGUUGCCCGAUUUGCCCUUGUUUGCCAUGGGGAAUACCAGGAUUUGUAAGAAAAUGAUCUUGCAGGAUCCUGAUAUUAAA
Mytilus californianus (California mussel) is the source of this 185-nucleotide long non-coding RNA. RefSeq lists it as uncharacterized. The transcript is spliced from 3 exons. NCBI's taxonomy places the organism in Eukaryota, Metazoa, Mollusca, Bivalvia, Mytilida, Mytilidae. The record is from RefSeq and is a predicted model, not a curated record.